RNAcentral lists this ribosomal RNA (245 nucleotides) under uncultured bacterium. Its description in RNAcentral is "partial 16S ribosomal RNA". It matches the Rfam family "Bacterial small subunit ribosomal RNA", at positions 524 to 768 of the family's 1533-position model. The record is from RNAcentral.
GACAGAGGCCACAAGCGUUAGGCGGAAUCACUGGGCUUAAAGCGUGUGUAGGCGGAUCGUUAAGUGCCUUGUGAAAUCCCCCGGCUCAACCGGGGAACGGCUGGGCAUACUGGCGGUCUUGAGCCACCUAGGGGCAGCCGGAACAAACGGUGGAGCGGUGAAAUGCGUAGAUAUCGUUUGGAACGCCCAAGGCGAAAGCAGGCUGCUGGGGGUGAGCUGACGCUGAGACACGAAAGCCAGGGGAG